GGGGAAUUUUGGACAAUGGGGGCAACCCUGAUCCAGCCAUUCCGCGUGAGUGAAGAAGGCCUUCGGGUUGUAAAGCUCUUUUGUCCGGAACGAAACGGUGAACGUGAAUAUCGUUCGCUACUGACGGUACCGGCGGAAUAAGCUCCGGCUAACUACGUGCCAGCAGCCGCGGUAAUACGCAGGGAGCAAGCGUUGUUCGGAUUUACUGGGCGUAAAGGGCGCGUAGGCGGCAAUUCAAGUCAUCUGUGAAAUCUCCGGGCUUAACUCGGAACGGUCAGAUGAUACUGUUUUGCUAGAGUGCAGAAGGGGCAAUCGGAAUUCUUGGUGUAGCGGUGAAAUGCGUAGAUAUCAAGAGGAACACCUGAGGUGAAGACGGGUUGCUGGGCUGACACUGACGCUGAGGCGCGAAAGCCAGGGGAGCAAAC
Molecule: ribosomal RNA, 425 nt
Filed under: uncultured bacterium
Lineage: Bacteria
Description: bacterial SSU rRNA
Rfam family: Bacterial small subunit ribosomal RNA
Source: RNAcentral